AGACAAAGCCAUAUAUGAUUGAAGGUUAUCAGUACUGUGCUUUUGGAGGAUUCAGAAGAAGUUAUAUCUGAUUGGGAGAUUGAAAAGGAUUGGCCUGAAGGAGAGGUGGUUUUUGAACUGCAUCUUAAAGGAUGAGGAAACUGAGGCUGAGAGGGUAGAGAACUUUGCCUGAGGUCACUCAGCAGGGACCCACCCAUCACAGUAAAUGCCAGCACUGCUGAUGCCAAAACAAUGUUAUUUGUAGGCCCUCGGAAUUUGUGACCUGAAGGAAGAAGAGCAGGGCCGUGGGAAGUAUGUAACCAGUGUCAUGCCCCUGGUCCCAAGGAAGCAGUGGCUUGGUAAAGAGGGGACCCCCGUCAAUAACUCCCUGUAAUUACUGGGCACCCACUCUGAGCUCCUCAGUGGAAUCCUAAGGUUAAUAAGACUGUCUCUAGCCACUGGGGCUCCCAGCCUGGAGUGAGGCCUGAACACCCUGUCCUACCUGGUCCUACCUGGAUGCUGGCCUCAGUAAGCUCCUGGGCUCAUUGAAGAUGAACCUAGCAGUAGUAUUUACACCACUUGUUGUGUGCCCACUGUGGGCCCGGCGCCAUGCCGAGUGCUCUAUGGAUGUGAGAGAAACGGAGGCCCAGAAAGCAGAAAUGAUGUGUUAAGAUCACUCAUCAAGCUGAUGGUACAGAGGUUAGAGCCUCUGCUCCCUGCUCUACCUCUUUCCCUUACUCCACAUCCAUGCCUGUCUCUUCCAAUGGGUCGGCAUCCACCCUGACACAUUAAAGCCAAAAGGAACCUUAAGCUAGGGAAGGGGCUCCAGAACUUUAGUGAAAGAUUCAAACAUGUCCACUCAACUCAAUGGAGAAAAUACAAUAUUCAAUCAA
Molecule: long non-coding RNA, 872 nt
Filed under: Homo sapiens (human)
Lineage: Eukaryota; Metazoa; Chordata; Mammalia; Primates; Hominidae
Description: long intergenic non-protein coding RNA 2395
Source: RNAcentral